CUGCGCCACAAGUGGGAGUCACGAUUAUUGGGCCUAAAGCGUCCGUAGCCGGUUUUGCAAAUCUUUUGUGAAAUUGCUGAGCUUAACUCAGCAGCGUGCAGAAGACACUACAAGACUUGGAACCAGGAGGAGUCAGAAGGAUGCUGGGGGGAGCGGUAAAAUGCUAUAAUCCCCGGUAGACUACCUGUGGCGAAGGCGUCUGACUAGAAUGGAUUCGACGGUGAGGGACGAAAGCUAGGGGAGCGAUCCGGAUUAGAUACCCGAGUAGUCC
Molecule: ribosomal RNA, 271 nt
Filed under: uncultured archaeon
Lineage: Archaea
Description: partial 16S ribosomal RNA
Rfam family: Archaeal small subunit ribosomal RNA
Source: RNAcentral